CACAGCACGAAGCCGAGAAAGAUGAGAGGCAGGAGCACUAGCCCAGAGUGAAGAGCAGUCCUCCAUCAGGCUGCGGACGAAAGCUUUGCAUGUGGUCAGGAGCUCAGGUGGGCCAAGGAAGGACUUUGCACGACGGAGGAUUCCCAGUCGGCGACUGGCUUUGGUGGCGAGGUUGGAAAUGUGACUUUCCCAGGAAAGAGCACGGCAGAUAGUGAGACCCAGAAGCUUGAAUGAAAUUACUUCAGAUUGAAUUGAGUCCAGGUGGGAUUUACUCAGGCUGUCAUCCUUGCGGGGUCAGCAAAAUGAGUGCCAGCUUGCUGGGAUCAUUGAGUCAUUCGAGAAUCCUGUGGCGAAGUGGCGACCCGUACAGGUAAAUGUGAAACAACAACAAACUUCUCCUGUCACGUGAUUAAGUGAAAAACAAUCCAAACAGACGAGUUAUUUGUCUGUGAGUUUUGAUUUUGUUUAUUGAACAUCAACUUUUGCAUUAUCAUCACGAAAAGGUCCUUCCUUCCUUCCCUUGGUAAGAAAUAGCAAACUUGUUUUGAAGGUUCUUCUUCUGCUUUUUAUUCUCAAUUUCAAUAGUUUGCUGAACUACACUUCAUUACACAAUAGCAAGUUUCGCGAUAGUAAAGUACAACAUGGAGUUUCCACAUCAAAACGUGGAAUAAAAAGCCUAACAUCCUUAGGGAACAAGCAUAAGAAAGGGGAAGAGAAUCAAAUGUGUCCAUGACGUUAUGGUCAAGUGACUUGUAAUUUACUUCUCUCGUUAAAACAAUUCGAGCAACUUCUAGUUAGCUUUAGUAAGUGACGGUAAGCUCUUUCGGUCGUGCAAAUUUUAACAAAGAAAUAAACAGCAUUGUCAAUCUCCUUGGUAUUUCCCCGAAACACCCCUUUUGGGGACCACCCACCUCCACAACCCGAAACACCCACAAGUUCUUAUUGCUGUGACCUUUUCUCAAUCACAUCCCAUACAUGGUGAAACCGAGAGGUGAAAGGUGCAAUCUGCUCUGCUUAUGUGGGUGGACGCUUCGCACUGGUAGAGUCCCCCAUCAUCCACCGUCAGGUUCUGCAGAGACAGCAUCCAUGUGGAUGCGUUCAAGGGGUGCACAGGUUGUUAAAAUCAAACAUCAACUCGAAGAGCAAAAUAUGCAAAGCUUCAUGUCCUUCCUUUCUGCAUCUCUCCUCACCCACCCUCUCAAGCAUUCUCCCUACCCCCCUCCCCCCCUCCGCUCUUUACAAAGCCUCGCCGUCCUGCACUCUCCCAACGCCUCCUCCCUGUCCCGAACUGCAUGGACCUCAAACAUUCGGGGCUUCCACUCCAACUUGAUAGAUCUCUCAAUCCAGGCCGCUUCCGAUAAACCAGACAUCAUCUGUUUAACAGAAUCCUUCCUCCCACAGGACGUCCCCGACUCCUUGGUGUCUCCUCGGUUCUCCAACCUGAUAGAUCUCUCAAUCCAGGCCGCUUCCGAUAAACCAGACAUCAUCUGUUUAACAGAAUCCUUCCUCCACAGGACGUCCCCGACUCCUUGGUGUCUCUCCCCGGUUCUCCAACCUGAUAGAUCUCUCAAUCCAGGCCGCUGCCGAUAAACCACACAUCAUCUGUUUAACAGAAUCCUUCCUCCCUCAGGACGUCCCCGACUCCUUGGUGUCUCUCCCCGGUUCUUCAACCUGAUAGAUCUCUCAAUCCAGGCCGCUGCCGAUCAACCACACAUCUUCUGUUUAACAGAAUCCUUCCUCCCACAGGACGUCCCCGACUCCUUGGUGUCUCUCCCCGGUUCUUCAACCUGAUGUUUAACAGAAUCCUUCCUCCCUCAGGACGUCCCCGACUCCUUGGUGUCUCUCCCCGUUUCUCCAACCCGAUAGAUCUCUCAAUCCAGGCCGCUGCUGAUAAUCCAGACAUCAUCUUUUUAACAGAAUCCUUCCUCCUUCAGGACGUCCCCGACUCCUUGGUGUCUCUCCCC
Long non-coding RNA from Eptatretus burgeri (inshore hagfish), 1964 nucleotides. The record is from Ensembl. NCBI's taxonomy places the organism in Eukaryota, Metazoa, Chordata, Myxini, Myxiniformes, Myxinidae.